GACGAACGCUGGCGGCGUGCUUAACACAUGCAAGUCGAACGGAAAGGCCCUGCUUUUGUUGUUUGCUCGAGUGUCGAACGGGGGAGUAACACGUGAGUAACCUGCCCUUGACUUUGGGAUAACUUCAGGAAACUGGGGCGAAUACCGGAUAGGAGCUCCUGCUGCAUGGUGGGUGUUGGAAAAUUUCGGCGGUUGGGGAUGGACUCGAGGCUUAUCAGCUUGUUGGUGGGGUAGUGGCUUACCAAGGCUUUGACGGGUAGCCGGCCUGAGAGGGUGACCGGCCACAUUGGGACUGAGAUACGGCCCAGAGUCCUACGGGAGGCAGCAGUGGGGAAUAUUGCACAAUGGGCGGAAGCCUGAUGCAGCAACGCCGCGUGCGGGAUGACGGCCUUCGGGUUGUAAACCGCUUUCGCCUGUGACGAAGCGUGAGUGACGGUAAUGGGUAAAGAAGCAACGGCUAACUACGUG
RNAcentral lists this ribosomal RNA (468 nucleotides) under uncultured bacterium. Its description in RNAcentral is "partial 16S ribosomal RNA". It matches the Rfam family "Bacterial small subunit ribosomal RNA", at positions 28 to 507 of the family's 1533-position model. The record is from RNAcentral.